Molecule: ribosomal RNA, 374 nt
Filed under: uncultured organism
Description: partial 16S ribosomal RNA
Rfam family: Bacterial small subunit ribosomal RNA
Source: RNAcentral
GUAGGUGGCAAGCGUUGUCCGGAAUUAUUGGGCGUAAAGCGCGCGUAGGCGGUUUUUUAAGGUCUGAUGUGAAAGCCCACGGGCUCAACCGUGGAGGGUCAUUGGAAACUGGAGAACUUGAGUACAGAAGAGGAAAGCGGAAUUCCACGUGUAGCGGUGAAAUGCGUAGAGAUGUGGAGGAACACCAGUGGCGAAGGCGGCUUUCUGGUCUGUAACUGACGCUGAGGCGCGAAAGCGUGGGGAGCAAACAGGAUUAGAUACCCUGGUAGUCCACGCCGUAAACGAUGAGUGCUAAGUGUUAGGGGGUUUCCGCCCCUUAGUGCUGCAGCUAACGCAUUAAGCACUCCGCCUGGGGAGUACGGCCGCAAAGGCUG